This 206-nucleotide ribosomal RNA is filed under the name uncultured bacterium. RNAcentral's name for it is "partial 16S ribosomal RNA". It matches the Rfam family "Bacterial small subunit ribosomal RNA", at positions 568 to 774 of the family's 1533-position model. The record is from RNAcentral.
UUUGUAGGUGGCUUGUUAAGUCAGACGUGAAAUCCCUCAGCUUAACUGGGGAACUGCGUCUGAUACUGGCGAGCUUGAGUGCAGGAGAGGAACGCGGAAUUCCAGGUGUAGCGGUGAAAUGCGUAGAUAUCUGGAGGAACACCGGUGGCGAAGGCGGCGUUCUGGACUGCAACUGACACUGAUAAACGAAAGCCAGGUAGCAAACG